UAAUACGGAGGGUGCAAGCGUUAAUCGGAAUUACUGGGCGUAAAGCGCACGCAGGCGGUUUGUUAAGUCAGAUGUGAAAUCCCCGGGCUCAACCUGGGAACUGCAUCUGAUACUGGCAAGCUUGAGUCUCGUAGAGGGGGGUAGAAUUCCAGGUGUAGCGGUGAAAUGCGUAGAGAUCUGGAGGAAUACCGGUGGCGAAGGCGGCCCCCUGGACGAAGACUGACGCUCAGGUGCGAAAGCGUGGGGAGCAAACAGGAUUAGAUACCCUGGUAGUCCACGCCGUAAACGAUGUCGACUUGGAGGUUGUGCCCUUGAGGCGUGGCUUCCGGAGCUAACGCGUUAAGUCGACCGCCUGGGGAGUACGGCCGCAAGGUUAAAACUCAAAUGAAUUGACGGGGGCCCGCACAAGCGGUGGAGCAUGUGGUUUAAUUCGAUGCAACGCGAAGAACCUUACCUGGUCUUGACAUCCACGGAAGUUUUCAGAGAUGAGAAUGUGCCUUCGGGAACCGUGAGACAGGUGCUGCAUGGCUGUCGUCAGCUCGUGUUGUGAAAUGUUGGGUUAAGUCCCGCAACGAGCGCAACCCUUAUCCUUUGUUGCCAGCGGUCCGGCCGGGAACUCAAAGGAGACUGCCAGUGAUAAACUGGAGGAAGGUGGGGAUGACGUCAAGUCAUCAUGGCCCUUACGACCAGGGCUACACACGUGCUACAAUGGCGCAUACAAAGAGAAGCGACCUCGCGAGAGCAAGCGAACCUCAUAAAGUGCGUCGUAGUCCGGAUUGGAGUCUGCAACUCGACUCCAUGAAGUCGGAAUCGCUAGUAAUCGUGGAUCAGAAUGCCACGGUGAAUACGUUCCCGGGCCUUGUACACACCGCCCGUCACACCAUGGGAGUGGGUUGCAAAAGAAGUAGGUAGCUUAACCUUCGGGAGGGCGCUUACCACUUUGUGAUUCAUGACUGGGGUGAAGUCGUAACAAGGUAACCGUAGGGGAACCUGCGGUUG
Molecule: ribosomal RNA, 999 nt
Filed under: Escherichia coli HVH 222 (4-2977443)
Lineage: Bacteria; Pseudomonadati; Pseudomonadota; Gammaproteobacteria; Enterobacterales; Enterobacteriaceae
Description: bacterial SSU rRNA
Rfam family: Bacterial small subunit ribosomal RNA
Source: RNAcentral